AGAGUUUGAUCCUGGCUCAGGAUGAACGCUGGCGGCGUGCCUAAUACAUGCAAGUCGAACGGUAUAGCAAUAUACAGUGGCGACCGGGUGAGUAACACGUAGCAGACCUGCCUUCUCGCGGGGGAUAACAGUCCGAAAGGAUUGCUAAUACCGCAUAUUUUCGAGGGAACUAGAUACUCUCGAAGAAACCUCCGGGGCGA
Molecule: ribosomal RNA, 200 nt
Filed under: uncultured bacterium
Lineage: Bacteria
Description: partial 16S ribosomal RNA
Rfam family: Bacterial small subunit ribosomal RNA
Source: RNAcentral